RNAcentral lists this ribosomal RNA (324 nucleotides) under uncultured Veillonellaceae bacterium. RNAcentral describes it as "bacterial SSU rRNA". It matches the Rfam family "Bacterial small subunit ribosomal RNA", at positions 1 to 339 of the family's 1533-position model. Lineage: Bacteria; Bacillati; Bacillota; Negativicutes; Veillonellales; Veillonellaceae. The record is from RNAcentral.
AGUAGUUUGACUCCGUGGCUCGAGGACGAACGCUGGCGGCGUGCUUAACACAUGCAAGUCGAACGGGCACUUCGGUGCUAGUGGCGAACGGGUGAGUAAAGCGCAGGUAAUCUGCCGCAAAGUCGGGGACAACGUCCCGAAAGGGACGCUAAUACCGGAUGUUGUAAGAUUCUUGCAUGGGAGUUUUACUAAAGAUUUAUCGCUUUGCGAGGAGCCUGCGUCCGAUUAGCUAGUUGGCGGGAUAAAAGCCCACCAAGGCGACGAUCGGUAGCCGGUCUGAGAGGAUGAACGGCCACAAUGGAACUGAGACACGGUCCAUACUCC